Molecule: unclassified non-coding RNA, 500 nt
Filed under: uncultured Glomus
Lineage: Eukaryota; Fungi; Glomeromycota; Glomeromycetes; Glomerales; Glomeraceae
Description: SSU rRNA
Rfam family: Eukaryotic small subunit ribosomal RNA
Source: RNAcentral
CCAAUAGCGUAUAUUAAAGUUGUUGCAGUUAAAAAGCUCGUAGUUGAAUUUCGGGAUCAGUAGGUCGGUCGUGCCACUGGUAUGAACUGGUCUCACUGGUUCCUCCCUCUUGACGAACUGCAAUGCUAUUAAUUUAGUGUUGUAGGAAAUCAGGACUGUUACUUUGAAAAAAUUAGAGUGUUUAAAGCAGGCUUUGGCUUGAAUACAUUAGCAUGGAAUAAUGAAAUAGGACGUUCGAUCCUAUUUUGUUGGCUUCUAGGAUUGACGUAAUGAUUAAUAGGGACAUUUGGGGGCAUUAGUAUUCAAUUGUCAGAGGUGAAAUUCUUGGAUUUAUUGAAGACUAACUACUGCGAAAGCAUUUGCCAAGGAUGUUUUCAUUAAUCAAGAACGAAAGUUAGGGGAUCGAAGACGAUCAGAUACCGUCGUAGUCUUAACCAUAAACUAUGCCGACUAGGGAUCGGAUGAUGUUAAUUUUUUAAUGACUCAUUCGGCGCCUUACG